This 242-nucleotide ribosomal RNA is filed under the name uncultured bacterium. RNAcentral describes it as "partial 16S ribosomal RNA". It matches the Rfam family "Bacterial small subunit ribosomal RNA", at positions 118 to 354 of the family's 1533-position model. The record is from RNAcentral.
UGAGGAACAUGACCUUCGGCGGGGGAGUAGCCGGCCCAACGGCCGGGUAAUACCGCGUACGACCACAUGGGGACAUCCCUGAGUGGUGAAAGCAGCAAUGCGCCGAUGGAGUGCCUCGCGGCCUAUUAGCUAGUUGGUGAGGUAACGGCUCACCAAGGCGACGACGGGUAGCCGGCCUGAGAGGGUGACCGGCCACACUGGGACUGAGACACGGCCCAGACUCCGUACGGGGAGGCAGCAGG